GACGAACGCUGGCGGCGUGCUUAACACAUGCAAGUCGAGCGAUGAAACUACUUCGGUAGUGAAUUAGCGGCGAACGGGUGAGGAACACGUGAGGAAUCUGCCUUCUACACUGGGAUAACUCCGGGAAACCGGGCUAAUACCGGAUAUGAAACUUGGUGGCAUCACCGAGUUUGGAAAGUUUUUCGGUAGAAGAUGACCUCGCGGCCUAUCAGCUUGUUGGUGAGGUAAUGGCUCACCAAGGCGACGACGGGUAGCCGGCCUGAGAGGGCGACCGGCCACACUGGGACUGAGACACGGCCCAGACUCCUACGGGAGGCAGCAGUGGGGAAUAUUGGGCAAUGGAGGAAACUCUGAUCCAGCCAUUCCGCGUGCCAGGAUGAAGGCCCUCGGGUUGUAAACUGCUUUUGUACGGAACGAAAAGGUCU
This 425-nucleotide ribosomal RNA is filed under the name uncultured bacterium. RNAcentral describes it as "bacterial SSU rRNA". It matches the Rfam family "Bacterial small subunit ribosomal RNA", at positions 28 to 456 of the family's 1533-position model. The record is from RNAcentral.